Molecule: ribosomal RNA, 737 nt
Filed under: bioreactor metagenome
Description: bacterial SSU rRNA
Rfam family: Archaeal small subunit ribosomal RNA
Source: RNAcentral
AACCGGAUUAGAUACCCGGGUAGUCCCAGCCGUAAACGCUGCGGGUUAGGCUUUGCUAAAUCUACGAGAUUUAGCAGGGUCGUAGCGAAGGCGUUAAACCCGCCACCUGGGGAGUACAGCCGCAAGGCCGAAACUUAAAGGAAUUGCCGGGGGAGUACUACAAGCGGUGCGACGUGCGGUUUAAUUGGAUUUUACACCGAGAAACUUACCAGGGGCGACAGCACUAUGAAGGUCAGAUUAAAGGUUUUACCUAAGACGCUGAGAGGUGCUGCAUGGCCGCCGUCAGCUCGUGCUGUAAGGUGUCCUCUUAAGUGAGGAAACGAGCAAGACCUAUGCCUACAAUUACUAAUCCAGUCGAUGGAUGUACUUUGUAGGGACUGCAGUGGAAACACUGAGGAAGGUGUAGGCGACGGUAGGUCUGUAUAGCCCGAAUCUCCUGGGCUACACGCGCGUAACAAUGGUUAUGACAAUGUGUUGCAACUCCGAAAGGGGAAGCUAAUCACCAAACGUAAUCUUAGUUUAGAUCGAGGCUUGUAACUCAGCCUCGUGACAUCGGAAUCGCUAGUAACCGGGUUUUAUCAGAGCCCGGUGAAUAUGUCCAUUCUCCUUGGACACACUGCCCGUCAAACCAAUCAAGUAGGUCCUAGAAGAGCAUCUGUUAUUUUGGCAGUUGCAAUUCUUAGAUCUGUGAGAGGGGUUAAGUCGUCACAAGGUAUCCGUAGGGGAACCUGCGGAUG